Molecule: ribosomal RNA, 268 nt
Filed under: Idzubius akiyamae
Lineage: Eukaryota; Metazoa; Arthropoda; Arachnida; Opiliones; Podoctidae
Description: partial 16S ribosomal RNA
Source: RNAcentral
UGACUGUACUAAGGUAGCAUAAYCAAUAGCCUCCUCAUUAGUGGCUGGUAUGAAAGGUUAAUAUCGGGGAGAGAGUUUUGUAUAUUAAUUUUGAACUUAAAUUAAAAAUAAAAAUGUUCUUAUAAAUCUUAAGGACGAUAAGACCCUAGAAGCUUUAAUGAUAAUUUAUUUUGAUUGGGGCGAUCAAUGAAGACAGAGAUCUUUAUCAAAGAAAAAGAAAAGUGUAUCAAGUUACUCUAGGGGUAACAGCAUUAUCUAAUUUCAAAGU